UAGGAUGUGGUGUAAUGGAAACACGGAGGGUUUUGGUCUCUCAGAUUAAGGUUCGAAUCCUUUCAUACUAA
Petromyzon marinus (sea lamprey) is the source of this 71-nucleotide non-coding RNA. The record is from Ensembl. NCBI's taxonomy places the organism in Eukaryota, Metazoa, Chordata, Hyperoartia, Petromyzontiformes, Petromyzontidae.